RNAcentral lists this long non-coding RNA (397 nucleotides) under Phoenix dactylifera (date palm). RNAcentral's name for it is "long non-coding RNA (PDAC_LNC011394)". The record is from RNAcentral. Lineage: Eukaryota; Viridiplantae; Streptophyta; Magnoliopsida; Arecales; Arecaceae.
AAAUUGUGAUUCUUGCGUUUUUAUAAAAUUACGAGACCAAAGCACUGUCUGAGAAACUACAUAAAAUUGGGCAGAUAGGGAUGAAAGCUUGAAGGGACCGACAUCUUUUGAGCAUCUAAAACAUGUAUUCUUGAUUAUAACGAUAAAAAUGGAUACUUCCUAUUAUCGCUAAAUCCGGACUGAGAUGUAUUCUUGUAGUCCUAUGGUCAGCUGCAGACGAGUUGAGCAGGCUAGCUAAGAUGUGCUGGAGCUGGCUUUCUUCGAAAAUGGCCUACAAGCAAUUCGCUUGUCGGAGAGUUUCUAGUAGGGAUCCUCCGAUAGAAUAGCAACAGUAUAGAAGGGAGAAAACUUCAGCAGAGGAUAAUUCUCUAUAAAUAAUAUUACAUGUGUAUUCUUG